AGGACGAACGCUGGCGGCGUGCUUAACACAUGCAAGUCGAACGAGGCACUUGUGCCUAGUGGCGAACGGGUGAGUAACACGUGAGCAACCUGCCCUUGGCUCUGGGAUAGCCUCCGGAAACGGGGAUUAAUACCGGACAUGACCUUGGUCUGCAUGGACUGAGGUGGAAAGUUUUUCGGCCAGGGAGGGGCUCGCGGCCUAUCAGCUUGUUGGAGGGGUAACGGCCCACCAAGGCGACGACGGGUA
Molecule: ribosomal RNA, 246 nt
Filed under: uncultured bacterium
Lineage: Bacteria
Description: partial small subunit ribosomal RNA
Rfam family: Bacterial small subunit ribosomal RNA
Source: RNAcentral